UACGGGGGGAGCAAGCGUUGUUCGGAUUUACUGGGCGUAAAGGGCGCAUAGGCGGUCAGCACAAGUCAGUUGUGAAAUCUCCGGGCUUAACCCGGAAAGGUCAACUGAUACUGUGCGACUAGAGUGCGGAAGGGGCAACUGGAAUUCUCGGUGUAGCGGUGAAAUGCGUAGAUAUCGAGAGGAACACCUGCGGCGAAGGCGGGUUGCUGGGCCGACACUGACGCUGAAGCGCGAAAGCCAGGGGAGCGAACAGG
Molecule: ribosomal RNA, 254 nt
Filed under: uncultured bacterium
Lineage: Bacteria
Description: partial 16S ribosomal RNA
Rfam family: Bacterial small subunit ribosomal RNA
Source: RNAcentral